GGAAUAUUGGACAAUGGGCGCAAGCCUGAUCCAGCCAUGCCGCGUGUGUGAAGAAGGCCUUAGGGUUGUAAAGCACUUUCAGUGGGGAGAAAGGUUAUUCACCUAAUACGUGAGUAAAUUGAUGUUACCCACAGAAGAAGCACCGGCUAACUCCGUGCCAGCAGCCGCGGUAAUACAGAGGGUGCGAGCGUUAAUCGGAAUUACUGGGCGUAAAGCGCACGUAGGCGGCUCUGCAAGUCGGGUGUGAAAUCCCCGGGCUCAACCUGGGAACUGCAUUCGAUACUGCAUUGCUCGAGUAUGGGAGAGGGAAGUGGAAUUUCCGGUGUAGCGGUGAAAUGCGUAGAUAUCGGAAGGAACACCAGUGGCGAAAGCGACUUCCUGGACCAAUACUGACGCUCAGGUGCGAAAGCGUGGGGAGCAAAC
RNAcentral lists this ribosomal RNA (423 nucleotides) under uncultured bacterium. RNAcentral's name for it is "bacterial SSU rRNA". It matches the Rfam family "Bacterial small subunit ribosomal RNA", at positions 358 to 773 of the family's 1533-position model. The record is from RNAcentral.